This 72-nucleotide transfer RNA is filed under the name Armatimonadota bacterium. Its description in RNAcentral is "Armatimonadetes bacterium (rhizosphere metagenome) tRNA-Thr". It matches the Rfam family "tRNA". From Rfam's summary of the family: Transfer RNA (tRNA) molecules are approximately 80 nucleotides in length. Their secondary structure includes four short double-helical elements and three loops (D, anti-codon, and T loops). The record is from RNAcentral. Lineage: Bacteria; Bacillati; Armatimonadota.
GCCCCCUUAGUACAAAGGCUAGUACAGUAGUUUUGUAAACUUCAGGUGACAGUUCGAUUCUGUCAGGGGGCU